RNAcentral lists this long non-coding RNA (585 nucleotides) under Prunus persica (peach). Its description in RNAcentral is "long non-coding RNA (PPER_LNC002981)". The record is from RNAcentral. Lineage: Eukaryota; Viridiplantae; Streptophyta; Magnoliopsida; Rosales; Rosaceae.
UGGAAGUAAGAAUAAUGUGGUGUGGGUUAGGGCUAGGGUUUCGUUGAGGGUUUUUUUGUGAAGAAGAUGAAUGAGUUUUAGGUUGAGAAGACGAGUGAAGGGGCCACACGUCAUGAUUGCUUUGGGUUGUCAAAAUUCCCUUCCCCAAGCCCGGUUCUAAGCCUUUUAGCCCAUAAGAUUCGUUGGGGAAGCCCUUUUUCCUGAUUUUAUUUGACCCCAGUCUUGUUUGUCCAUGAGCCACUUGAUCUUUGGACUCAUCAUUUGAUUUGGGUCGGGCUGAAUGGAAGUCACAUCUUCGAGAGAAACUCUCAUGCAACGGGAAUAAUAUUUUUUGCUAUAACAUAAUGACACGUAGGAUAAUUUUUCUACGUAUCCUUGUGUUAUUGGCCAGGAAUAGCAAAACAGUGAUAUCCCUGUUACAAGAAAGUUUUUUUGCACAUCUUGAGUGACAGACCCUUGAAAAGAAAAAAAAAAGAAAAAAAAAUUAUUGUCAUAGUAUGAUUAUUUAAAUGUAAAAAGAAAAAAAUUAAUUUGUACUUAGAAACCUCAAUUUCAAAUUCAUUAUUAGAAGUUCUUUUGGUUUAG